GAGUUAAGGAGUACCGACCAUGAGAUUCUUUAGAGAAGAAGGCCACCAUCAGUAUGGAUGUGGUCUUUGAUGAAAAAUCAGUCCUUUAGAGGCAAGAAGGCAUGGAGGAACAGCAGGUGCAGCAGGAGGUCCAGUCGGACAGCGAUAGCAAUUAUUUUGCCUUUUGCAGAUGCAUCUGGAGGACUUAAUAUUUAGGUAGAGCACCAUCCAGAGGUACCUCCACAUGUGGAGAGGGCUGAGAUA
Molecule: long non-coding RNA, 243 nt
Filed under: Elaeis guineensis (African oil palm)
Lineage: Eukaryota; Viridiplantae; Streptophyta; Magnoliopsida; Arecales; Arecaceae
Description: long non-coding RNA (EGUI_LNC046381)
Source: RNAcentral